AGUGAACGCUGGCGGUAGGCCUAACACAUGCAAGUCGAACGGCAGCACAGUAAGAGCUUGCUCUUACGGGUGGCGAGUGGCGGACGGGUGAGGAAUACAUCGGAAUCUACUUUUUCGUGGGGGAUAACGUAGGGAAACUUACGCUAAUACCGCAUACGACCUACGGGUGAAAGCAGGGGAUCUUCGGACCUUGCGCGAUUGAAUGAGCCGAUGUCGGAUUAGCUAGUUGGCGGGGUAAAGGCCCACCAAGGCGACGAUCCGUAGCUGGUCUGAGAGAAUGAUCAGCCACACUGGAACUGAGACACGGUCCAGACUCCUACGGGAGGCAGCAGUGGGGAAUAUUGGACAAUGGGCGCAAGCCUGAUCCAGCCAUACCGCGUGGGUGAAGAAGGCCUUCGGGUUGUAAAGCCCUUUUGUUGGGAAAGAAAAGCAGCAGGUUAAUACCCCGCUGUUCUGACGGUACCCAAAGAAUAAGCACCGGCUAACUUCGUG
Molecule: ribosomal RNA, 492 nt
Filed under: uncultured bacterium
Lineage: Bacteria
Description: partial 16S ribosomal RNA
Rfam family: Bacterial small subunit ribosomal RNA
Source: RNAcentral